This 204-nucleotide non-coding RNA is filed under the name unclassified sequences. RNAcentral's name for it is "FuFi-1 RNA". The stretch from base 27 to 204 matches the Rfam family "FuFi-1 RNA". The record is from Rfam by way of RNAcentral.
AUCAUCAACUAACGGGCCAACCUUUAACUAGCUUUUUUUGAAGGCUAUCAUGCAGAACUGAAACCGCAUAAGUGAUGAUGCGUACAUAGAAGCAUUAUGCGCUAUAUAGUGUAGUGAUUAAGCUUUAUACUUUUUCGCUUGCAUACGUAAAGAGUAAACAAAUUCAGGCAAACGUCAGUAAGAAUAGCGCUCUUAUUGACGUUU